AGAUGAUGCAAUUUCUAUUGCACUCCACACUGCCCUUUCCCACCUGGACAAAAGGAACACCUAUGUGAGAAUGCUAUUCAUUAACUGCAGCUCAGCGUUCAAUACCAUAGUGCCCUCAAAGGACCCUGGGACUAAACACCUCCCUCUGCAACUGGAUCCUGGACUUCCUGACGGGCCGCCCCCAGGUGGUAAGGGUAGGUAACAACACAUCUGCCAUGCUGACCUCAACACGGGGGCCCCUCGGGGGUGCGUGCUCAGUCCCCUCCUGUACUCCAUGUUCACCCACGACUGCCACGACUGCAUGGCCAAGCACGACUCCAACACCAUCAAUACGUUUCCCGACGACACAACAAUGGUAGGCCUGAUCACCGACAACGACGAGACAGCCUAUAGGGAGGAGGUCAGAGACCUGGCCGUGUGGUGCCAGAAUAACAACCUAUCCCUCAAUGUAACCAAGACUAAGGAGAUGAUUGAGGACCGAGCACUCCCCCAUUCUCAACGACGGGGCUGUAGUGGAGCAGGUUGAGAGCUUCAAGUUCCUUGGUGUCCACAUCACCAACAAACUAGAAUGGUCCAAACACACCAAGACAGUCGUGAAGAGGGCACGACAAAGCCUAUUCCCCCUCAGGAGACUGAAAAGAUUUGGCAUGUGUCCUUGGAUCCUCAAAAAAGUUUUACAACUGCACCAUUGAGAGCAUCACUGCUUGGUAUGGAAACUGUUUGUGUAGUGGGUGAACCAAUACACUACAACCACUACACUACAACCACUACACUACAACCACUACACUACAACCACUACACUACAACCACUACACUACAACCACUACACUACUACCACUACAACUACUACACUACAACCACUACACUACUACCACUACAACCACUACACUACAACCACUACACUACAACCACUACACUACAACCACUACACUACAACCACUACACUACAACCACUACACUACUACCACUACACUACAACCACUACACUACUACCACUACAACCACUACACUACUACCACUACAACCACUACACUACAACCAAUACACUACAACCACUACACUACAACCACUACAACCACUACACUACAACCACUACACUACAACCACUACACUACAACCACUACACUACAACCAAUACACUACAACCACUACACUACAACCACUACACUACAACCACUACACUACAACCACUACAACCACUACACUACAACCACUACACCACAACCACUACACUACAACCACUACACUACAACCACUACACUACAACCACUACACUACAACCACUACACUACAACCACUACACUACUACCACUACAACCACUACACUACAACCACUACACUACAACCACUACACUACAACCAAUACACUACAACCACUACACCACAACCACUACAACCACUACACUACAACCACUACACUACAACCACUACACUACAACCACUACACUACAACCACGACACCACAACCAAUACACCACAACCAAUACACCACAACCACUACACUACAACCAAUACACCACAACCACUACACUACAACCACUACACUACAACCACUACACUACAACCACUACACUACAACCAAUACACCACAACCACUACACUACAACCAAUACACCACAACCACUACACUACAACCAAUACACUACAACCAAUACACCACAACCACUACACUACAACCAAUACACCACAACCACUACACUACAACCAAUACACCACAACCACUACACUACAACCAAUAAACCACAACCACUACACCACAACCACUACACGAUGUGUGCUUGGAAGCAUGCAUCUCUCCAAAGCACUGAUUCCCAAUACCCACUGAUUCCCAAUAACCAUUUAAUACCCACCGAUUCCCAAAACCCAUUUAAUACCCACUGAUUCCCAAAAC
This 1891-nucleotide long non-coding RNA is filed under the name Oncorhynchus kisutch (coho salmon). RNAcentral's name for it is "lncRNA (ENSOKIG00005040708.1)". The record is from RNAcentral. Lineage: Eukaryota; Metazoa; Chordata; Actinopteri; Salmoniformes; Salmonidae.